Long non-coding RNA from Peromyscus leucopus (white-footed mouse), 1954 nucleotides. RefSeq lists it as uncharacterized. Lineage: Eukaryota; Metazoa; Chordata; Mammalia; Rodentia; Cricetidae. The record is from RefSeq and is a predicted model, not a curated record. The transcript is spliced from 2 exons.
GCAGGUGAGAGAGAUUUGUCCUGACCGUGGGCCAGGCAGGACUGGAGAAAACUCCAGCUAUAGAGUUGAUGCUGUAGUGACACACAGCUGCCCGACUCACGGAUGCUUCUCAUGGCGUUACUUUGACUGUUCACUAAGUGCCCUCUCUCCCGUCACUUCCUCGCUUGCGCCAUUUAUUCGUUAGGCCAGUAUUUAGUGAGCAUUUUAGUAUUAAUUAGCUCAAGAUUUAGUGGUCAACAAGACUGACAAGCUUGCUGAAUGAGGCAAGGCAAACAGUAUAGAGUAAAUUGAUGAUAACUCGGGAAGCCGGGGGAGAUACGCAUUACAAAAACUCCAAGAAGGGAGGCCUAGCAGAACCUCCUGGGGUUGCUGACCAGCUCUUCAGGGCAGUUGCCCGGCCUGUCUCUUGCUUCCCUUCUUCUCUUCAGAGGGGACUGCCGUGGUCCUUUCACCUGGUCUUGCUUUCAUUCAUCUUUCAUUUUCAUUCAGGAGAGUUUGUGCUAUUUUCUAUUACUGCUGCCUAAAUGAAAGUCCUCUGCAUAGACCAGUCAGAUGGGGCACUUGAGGGUUUUGUUUGUUUGGAGGCUGGUGGUUUUGUUUUUGUUGUUGUAGUUUGUUGUUUUUGUUUUUUUUUUUUUUUGAAAUGGGGUCUUACUCCGUAGCCCUGAAACUCAUGGUCGUCCUCUCGUGUCACCCCGAGUGCUGAGAUUACAGGUGUGAGCCACCGUGUCCAGCAGGAAUAAUGUUAUAUGCCUUUGUGCCUUGACUCAGAAUAGGUGCUCACAAGAAGAGUGGCACCCAGCUGCCCAUCCCAGGAAACCACAGUAGUAAAACACUGAGAACCAAGCUCCUCUCCCAGCUGGCAUGAAUAAAUACCAGGUGUAUUGGCACCGAGUUUUGCAGCUCCACAUCCAUCAAGAUGAGACCUUCUGUCCCCUCCUUUUGGCAAGAUACAAUUUCAAAUGAAUGGGAAAAGGAAAUGCAAAGACCUUUGCCACCACCUCUGAAUCAAAUUCAUUUUUUUUCCCAUCUCCUGAGAACAGUUUCUUCUCAUCUACAUAUUUAUUGCAUAAAUCUUUUCCAACUUCAUCCUUGACCUGCACACUUCCUAAACAUCAUUCUACAAUGUCUCUGGAAUUUGUGAGGGUGCUUGCAACGAACACAAAGAAGGAAUGCUCAGAAGGCAUGGCCUCGUGUUUAUUGAGCUCCUACUCAGUGCUGGGCUUGGCAUUUCCACUUAGGUUAGCUGACUCCAUCUACAGCACCCUCCAAGGUAGGUUUCGUUACCCCUACUUUCUUCAAGGUCACAAAGACUUAGUAAAUGACAGAACCGAGAUCCCCAAACAAACGCAAGAAGUUGGUGAUUAUCCAAAGUGACUUGUCCAUACUGGUAGCUGAAUGGAAGUAUCGUAUUUCACCUCUUUCUAUCAACUCAAAAAUGGUUUCCUGUACAAAGUGGGUUUUAAGUUGAGCACGGAAAGGACAGUUCGGAAGUGAUGUUGAGAGAACAGUGCCAAAUGAAGACACUGUAUUGGCCAUCAGCCUAAAAUCAAUCAAUAAGAAAGAGUUUUGUGUUACUCAGAGAUGAGUCAUGUUCUGUUCUUCAAGUACCUUCCCUGUCUCAGCUGCUCCAAAGUGGGAAAGUCAACGGGAUGGCACUGGCUGGGAGAGUGUGAGCAGGGGUGAGUAGGGAUUGAAUUCCGCCAGUUCCCCACAUGGCUAGUGAACCAGCACAUCCAGCCGUGGCUUUGGAAGCAGCUAGAACUAGGGCAGACUACUGCACAUUUUCGUGACUGAUAUGUGCACAGCAGUAUCCUGGGUUGUUUUUCUCUAAGUCAAUUGUUGAACAGUUUUUAAAGAAUUUAUUCAGUGCUCACUAUAUUUUGUAAGGAAUUAUACUUCUGCUAUCUUUAGCGCUUUUUGUGGGGAUUUAAAAUUCAAUAAAAUACACUCA